RNAcentral lists this ribosomal RNA (253 nucleotides) under uncultured bacterium. Its description in RNAcentral is "partial 16S ribosomal RNA". It matches the Rfam family "Bacterial small subunit ribosomal RNA", at positions 524 to 776 of the family's 1533-position model. The record is from RNAcentral.
UACGUAGGGGGCAAGCGUUGUCCGGAUUUAUUGGGCGUAAAGAGCGUGUAGGCGGCCUGAAAGGUCAGCUGUGAAAACUCGAGGCUCAACCUCGAGACGUCGGUUGAAACCAUCUGGCUAGAGUCCGGAAGAGGAGUGUGGAAUUCCCGGUGUAGCGGUGAAAUGCGCAGAUAUCGGGAGGAACACCGGUGGCGAAGGCGGUUCUCUGGGCCUGUACUGACGCUGAGGAGCGAAAGCGUGGGGAGCGAACAGG